AUUGAACGCUGGCGGCAUGCCUUACACAUGCAAGUCGAACGGCAGCACGGGAGCAAUCCUGGUGGCGAGUGGCGAACGGGUGAGUAAUACAUCGGAACGUGCCCAAUCGUGGGGGAUAACGCAGCGAAAGCUGUGCUAAUACCGCAUAAGAUCUAUGGAUGAAAGCAGGGGACCGCAAGGCCUUGCGCGAAUGGAGCGGCCGAUGGCAGAUUAGGUAGUUGGUGAGGUAAAGGCUCACCAAGCCUUCGAUCUGUAGCUGGUCUGAGAGGACGACCAGCCACACUGGGACUGAGACACGGCCCAGACUCCUACGGGAGGCANCAGUGGGGAAUUUUGGACAAUGGGCGCAAGCCUGAUCCAG
This 361-nucleotide ribosomal RNA is filed under the name uncultured bacterium. RNAcentral's name for it is "bacterial SSU rRNA". It matches the Rfam family "Bacterial small subunit ribosomal RNA", at positions 30 to 391 of the family's 1533-position model. The record is from RNAcentral.